CCCUUAGAUGUUCUGGGCCGCACGCGCGCUACACUGAUGCAUUCAACGAGUCCAACCUUGACCGAGAGGUCCGGGUAAUCUUUGAAACUGCAUCGUGAUGGGGCUAGAUUAUUGCAAUUAUUAAUCUUCAACGAGGAAUGCCUAGUAAGCGUGAUUCAUCAAAUCGCGUUGAUUACGUCCCUGUCCUUUGUACACACCGCCCGUCGCUCCUACCGAUUGAGUGUGUUGGUGAGGAGUUUGGAUUGGCCUCGGAAGGUGGUUCGCCACCGUCCGUAGCUGAGAAGUUCUCCAAACCGCCCCACUUAGAGGAAGGAGAAGUCGUAACA
Molecule: ribosomal RNA, 326 nt
Filed under: uncultured eukaryote
Lineage: Eukaryota
Description: partial 18S ribosomal RNA
Rfam family: Eukaryotic small subunit ribosomal RNA
Source: RNAcentral